Molecule: small nuclear RNA, 95 nt
Organism: Culicoides brevitarsis
Lineage: Eukaryota; Metazoa; Arthropoda; Insecta; Diptera; Ceratopogonidae
Source: RefSeq, a predicted model, not a curated record
GUGUCAUUUGAAAGGAGAGCCGUUCAGCACGCUCCCUAGACAAGGAUGAGCACACAAGAGGAUUGAACUGGCACGGUUCAAUUCCACAAAUUUUU